RNAcentral lists this ribosomal RNA (254 nucleotides) under uncultured bacterium. Its description in RNAcentral is "partial 16S ribosomal RNA". It matches the Rfam family "Bacterial small subunit ribosomal RNA", at positions 524 to 776 of the family's 1533-position model. The record is from RNAcentral.
CACGUAGGGGGCGAGCGUUGUCCGGAUUUAUUGGGCGUAAAGAGCUCGUAGGCGGCUUUGUCAGUCGGGUGUGAAACCUCCAGGCUCAACCUGGAGCCGCCACCCGAUACUGCAAUAGCUAGAGUCCGGUAGGGGAGCAUGGAACUCCUGGUGUAGCGGUGAAAUGCGCAGAUAUCAGGAGGAACACCAAUUGCGAAGGCAGCUCGCUGGGACGUGACUGACGCUGAGACGCGAAAGCGUGGGGAGCAAACAGG